This is a long non-coding RNA of Brassica napus (rape), 795 nucleotides long. RefSeq lists it as uncharacterized. The record is from RefSeq and is a predicted model, not a curated record. The transcript is spliced from 2 exons. Lineage: Eukaryota; Viridiplantae; Streptophyta; Magnoliopsida; Brassicales; Brassicaceae.
GAUUUUAUAUAAACAAAUCUAUACCUCACAAGUGAAUUUAAUGUUUUAAUGUAUUUUCUUAAAUCAUUUUUCUAAACAAAAUAAUAAUCACAAUCUCAAUAAAAAUGAAAUUAUAAUUAUGAUUUGGGCUAAGGCGUUUUAAUCUUUAUUUGGGCGAAGAUAAGAUAUGAUUAAUGAAAAGCCCAUUAGGUUUCUGUUUUUUUUUUCGUGAACAAACGGCAAAAAUAAACAGACUUUUUUUUCUAUCAAAACAAAUAUAAGAUUCCGGCUUCUUUGUUCUCUCCGGCAUAAGGAAGUCAGUAGAGACCGACAUUUGAUGAUUCUCAAUCAAUACUAAGAAUAUGUAUGAAGAUCGUUAGUGAAAAAACGGUAGCAUAUAAAGGUCUUCUUACAAAAGAUGAUGCUAUUAGUAAAAAUUUUAGAGACAAUAUCAGACCACUCAAUAUGAUGUUUUCUUUUACAUCGCUUGGAGGAAAGAUCGAUAAUUCAAUAAAUAGAGGUAAUGGACCAAAAAAUUUCCAGACCAUGGGGAAAACUAUCAUUUGAUUGGGAGCAUGAAGCCGGAGGCAAACAAAAAUGCUAAGUUCUCUCAGUUGUAUAUUCAUGACACUGAGAAUGAGGUGGAAAAUCGGCUAUCUGCUUUUGAUGUACAUCAAUUAUCUUUGCACCAUCGUUUUCCUAAAUGAAGUACAUUUAUUCAAUUUUAUAGACCAAAUUGAAUUUCCCUUAAUUGUUUAUAUGUAAUGUAACAGUGGAAACGGUGAAAGGACCAAAAUAAGAGCUGAUUUAGUACAG